RNAcentral lists this ribosomal RNA (445 nucleotides) under uncultured bacterium. Its description in RNAcentral is "bacterial SSU rRNA". It matches the Rfam family "Bacterial small subunit ribosomal RNA", at positions 330 to 792 of the family's 1533-position model. The record is from RNAcentral.
CCCAGACUCCUACGGGAGGCAGCAGUGGGGAAUAUUGCACAAUGGGGGAAACCCUGAUGCAGCAACGCCGCGUGAAGGAGGACGGUUUUCGGAUUGUAAACUUCUGUUCUUAGUGAAGAAGAAUGACGGUAGCUAAGGAGCAAGCCACGGCUAACUACGUGCCAGCAGCCGCGGUAAUACGUAGGGGGCGAGCGUUAUCCGGAUUUAUUGGGUUUAAAGGGUGCGUAGGCGGGACGGUAAGUCAGCGGUAAAAAGGCGGAGCUCAACUCCGUCGAGCCGUUGAAACUGCCGUUCUUGAGUGAGCGAGAAGUAUGCGGAAUGCGUGGUGUAGCGGUGAAAUGCAUAGAUAUCACGCAGAACUCCGAUUGCGAAGGCAGCAUACUGGCGGCGAUCUGACGCUGAGGCACGAAAGCGUGGGUAUCGAACAGGAUUAGAUACCCUUGUA